GUAAAGGGAGCGCAGGCGGUUGAAAUAGUCUGAUGUGAAAGCCCACGGCUUAACCGUGGAAGGUCAUUGGAAACUGUUCAACUUGAAUACAGAAGAGGUAAGUGGAAUUCCAAGUGUAGCGGUGAAAUGCGUAGAUAUUUGGAGGAACACCAGUGGCGAAGGCGACUUACUGGUCUGUAAUUGACGCUGAGGCUCGAAAGCGUGGGUAGCAAACAGGAUUAGAUACCCUGGUAGUCCACGCCGUAAACGAUGAGUGCUAAGUGUUAGGGGGUUUCCGCCCCUUAGUGCUGGAGUUAACGCAUUAAGCACUCCGCCUGGGGAGUACGGCCGCAAGGCUGAAACUCAAAGGAAUUGACGGGGACCCGCACAAGCGGUGGAGCAUGUGGUUUAAUUCGACGCAACGCGAAGAACCUUACCAACUCUUGACAUCUUCUGAUCACCCUAGAGAUAGGGCUUUCCCUUCGGGGACAGAAUGACAGGUGGUGCAUGGUUGUCGUCAGCUCGUGUCGUGAGAUGUUGGGUUAAGUCCCAUAACGAGCGCAACCCUUAUUGUUAGUUGCCAGCAUUCAGUUGGGCACUCUAGCGAGACUGCCGGUGAUAAACCGGAGGAAGGUGGGGAUGACGUCAAAUCAUCAUGCCCCUUAUGAGUUGGGCUACACACGUGCUACAAUGGACGGUACAACGAGUAGCGAUCCCGCAAGGGUUAGCGAAUCUUAAUAAGCCGUUCUCAGUUCGGAUUGGGGUCUGCAACUCGACCUCAUGAAGUCGGAGUCGCUAGUAAUCGCAGAUCAGCAACGCUGCGGUG
Molecule: ribosomal RNA, 805 nt
Filed under: uncultured Bacillota bacterium
Lineage: Bacteria; Bacillati; Bacillota
Description: bacterial SSU rRNA
Rfam family: Bacterial small subunit ribosomal RNA
Source: RNAcentral